RNAcentral lists this ribosomal RNA (381 nucleotides) under uncultured bacterium. RNAcentral describes it as "bacterial SSU rRNA". It matches the Rfam family "Bacterial small subunit ribosomal RNA", at positions 338 to 734 of the family's 1533-position model. The record is from RNAcentral.
CCUACGGGAGGCAGCAGUGGGGAAUAUUGGGCAAUGGAGGAAACUCUGACCCAGCGACGCCGCGUGCGGGAUGAAGGCCUUCGGGUUGUAAACCGCUUUCAGCAGGGAAGAAGCGAAAGUGACGGUACCUGCAGAAGAAGCACCGGCUAACUAUGUGCCAGCAGCCGCGGUAAUACAUAGGGUGCAAGCGUUGUCCGGAAUUAUUGGGCGUAAAGAGCUCGUAGGUGGUUCGUCACGUCGGAUGUGAAAAUCUGGGGCUUAACCCCAGACCUGCAUUCGAUACGGGCGAGCUUGAGUAUGGUAGGGGAGUCUGGAAUUCCUGGUGUAGCGGUGGAAUGCGCAGAUAUCAGGAGGAACNCCAAUGGCAAGGCAGGACUNGGC